GAGAUUAUACCAGCACUAAUGCACCGGAUCACAUCAGAACUCUGAAGUUAAGCUUGCUUGGGCGAGAGCAGUACUAGGAUGGGUGACCCCCUGGGAAGUCCUCGUGUUGCACCU
Molecule: ribosomal RNA, 114 nt
Filed under: Zingiber officinale
Lineage: Eukaryota; Viridiplantae; Streptophyta; Magnoliopsida; Zingiberales; Zingiberaceae
Source: RNAcentral